Molecule: unclassified non-coding RNA, 334 nt
Filed under: air metagenome
Description: partial contains small subunit ribosomal RNA, internal transcribed spacer 1, and 5.8S ribosomal RNA
Rfam family: Eukaryotic small subunit ribosomal RNA (bases 1-46)
Source: RNAcentral
AAGUCGUAACAAGGUUUCCGUAGGUGAACCUGCGGAAGGAUCAUUAUCGAAUAGAAAACUUGGUCAGGCUGUUGCUGAUCUCUCGGGAUAUGUGCACGCCUGUUACCAACUUUCUUCUACCACCUGUGCACCUUUUGUAGAUGCUGGACAUCUGUCCGAGUUCUUGAACUCGGGUGUCGAGGACCCUGCUGUGCUGUACAGCUCAGCUUUCCUUGCAUGUCUGUGCUCUACGUCUUUUUCAUUCAUACACACUGCAUGUCUCAGAAUGUAAUUGAUAGGCAUAAUUGCCUUUAAAACUUUAAUACAACUUUCAACAACGGAUCUCUUGGCUCUC